Notothenia coriiceps (black rockcod) is the source of this 107-nucleotide long non-coding RNA. RefSeq lists it as uncharacterized. The record is from RefSeq and is a predicted model, not a curated record. The transcript is spliced from 3 exons. Lineage: Eukaryota; Metazoa; Chordata; Actinopteri; Perciformes; Nototheniidae.
AGGGUAUGUAAUCACCAUACAGCACUCACCCGGGAAGUGUUCUUCAGUUCAGCUUUAAGAGCUUUCUCGUUGACCGUGAUAUCUUUCUCAGCUUUGCAGGCUAACUU